This 946-nucleotide small RNA is filed under the name uncultured Cellulomonas sp. RNAcentral describes it as "bacterial SSU rRNA". The stretch from base 1 to 473 matches the Rfam family "Bacterial small subunit ribosomal RNA", at positions 1064 to 1533 of the family's 1533-position model. The record is from RNAcentral. Lineage: Bacteria; Bacillati; Actinomycetota; Actinomycetes; Micrococcales; Cellulomonadaceae.
GUCGUGAGAUGUUGGGUUAAGUCCCGCAACGAGCGCAACCCUCGUCCUAUGUUGCCAGCGAGUAAUGUCGGGGACUCAUAGGAGACUGCCGGGGUCAACUCGGAGGAAGGUGGGGAUGACGUCAAGUCAUCAUGCCCCUUAUGUCUUGGGCUGCACACAUGCUACAAUGGCCGGUACAAAGGGCUGCGAAACCGCAAGGUGGAGCGAAUCCCAAAAAGCCGGUCUCAGUUCGGAUUGGGGUCUGCAACUCGACCCCAUGAAGUCGGAGUCGCUAGUAAUCGCAGAUCAGCAACGCUGCGGUGAAUACGUUCCCGGGCCUUGUACACACCGCCCGUCACGUCACGAAAGUCGGUAACACCCGAAGCCAGUGGCCCAACUCGCAAGAGAGGGAGCUGUCGAAGGUGGGAUCGGCGAUUGGGACGAAGUCGUAACAAGGUAGCCGUACCGGAAGGUGCGGCUGGAUCACCUCCUUUCUAAGGAGCACCUGGCCAUUCAGCCUCGCGCUGGAUGGUCCAGAGCCAUGCUCAGGGCGUAUGCCCCUGGGAUGGUGCUCAAGGGUGGAACAUUGACCAGUAGGCCGACACACCAGUGACCACGCUCAGUACACCUGCUUCGGCGGGAGGAACGGCAAGGGAUCGGGUGGGUCAGCCCAGGCACGCUGUUGGGUCCUGAGGGAUCGGGCGCACGUAGCCCAACCUUCUUACGGGACCGGUCCUCGUCGGACGACACCUCCCUCCCUCUGCGGAGCUGCAGGUGCACGCGACGAGCUAGGGCCGGCACUCCGCCCGUACCUUGAGAACUGCACAGUGGACGCGAGCAUCUUGUUUUUUGUGGCCAAGUUAGUAAGGGCGCACGGUGGAUGCCUUGGCACCAGGAGCCGAUGAAGGACGUAGGAGGCUGCGAUAAGCCUCGGGGAGCUGUCAACCGAGCUGUGAUCCGAGGAUUU